Molecule: non-coding RNA, 73 nt
Organism: Capra hircus (goat)
Lineage: Eukaryota; Metazoa; Chordata; Mammalia; Artiodactyla; Bovidae
Source: the annotation of a RefSeq genome assembly
UCCCUGGUGGUCCAGUGGUUAAGAUCCUGCAUUCCUAAUGCAGGGGGCCCUGGUUUGAUACCUGGUCAGGGAG